GUUACAAUUUAACGUUGCGUCGUUUGUUUUCUCUUAUUUUUGAGUGUAAAUUGACAUUGCGAUAAGACGUGUCACGGUACUUGUCUAUCCCAAAUUCAUGUAUUUGGUUUUGGUGUUAUAUUUGUUAUUCUCGUGGGACUUUGUCUGAUGCUUGGUCCGUUUCUGUGUGUGUUAGUUACAUUGUAGUGUUGUGUCGUUGUUCUCCUCUUAUAUUUAUGCGUUUCCCUCAGUUUUAGUUUGUUACCCCGAUUUUGUUUUUUGUCCAUGGAUUUAUGAGUUUGAACAGUGGUAUACUACUGUUGCCUUUAUUU
RNAcentral lists this long non-coding RNA (311 nucleotides) under Mytilus galloprovincialis (Mediterranean mussel). Lineage: Eukaryota; Metazoa; Mollusca; Bivalvia; Mytilida; Mytilidae. The record is from RNAcentral.